GGCAGGGAGAAAGAAUGAGGUGGGAAAAUGUUUUGGUUUGCUUUUGUUUCAGUUUUGAAUGCAGCUUCCAAUAGAUGCCUCAGAUUAAAGCUGAAGGGGAAAAAAUGGUUGACUAGUUCUUUUAAAUAUGCAAAGAAUAACGCUCGAAUAGUGAUAGCAUUAUCAUAGAAGUGGUCUCGAUGAGCCCUGCCUGGCCUAUCAUGAAGGGAAACAUCAAUUCCUACCCCAGCCACCAGAACAAGACAGAAUGCAUGUGAAGUGCUGCUCUGCCGGUCUCCAUGGCCACAGGAAAGAAUGUCUGUGGCCUGAGGUCCCCAUCAGUCAGCUUCCUUCUGCCUCUCGACAUCCUUCUGUCACAGAGACUCUGAGCUCCAAAUACCGUCUGCGUCUGCAGGUUCCGGGUUGUGACUAGUCGUCAGGGAAGCAUCUAGCCUGGAUGGUUAGGAAGGAGCCAAGAAUGUUCUCCAAGAUCACAUUGCUUAUUAAUUAACGCCAUGUGAAAGCCAGCUGGUGUGGUCCUGAGAGGAGAAGAGAAGGUUCAGGAAGAGGAUCCAGGAGCAUAAGAUGGUUUUCAUCGGCAAUUUGUCACAGCAACAAGGAGAGUUUGCGUGGACAAGCAUCGUUUCCCAAGAUGAAGACUCAGAGACUGGUGCAGCAGUAUCCAUGCAAGACUUUGUGAAUAAAUGGGCAGACGUCUACGGUUCUUGUAGGUCUUUUUGAUAGUGAUUGUAAUAAUUUUGAUGAUCAUUCCUUUAAAAAAAUUGCAUGCCCAUUGCAAUGUUCCUUUGCAAACCUCUAGCUUAGAAACCUAGAAACCAGUAGCCACGUUGUAGAGAAGUUAUGUUUAAAAGUUUAGCUGAAUCAAGAGACAAUGCCUACAAAUAAAUCCGAAUUCCCAGUUAGAUGCUUGGAAUAUCUCUGGCAAGUAAAUGGCAUAUAAACAAAAUCAUAUUAAAAAAUCCUAAUUGUCAACCAUGGUCAAAGAUGAAAUGUUUUACUUUAAGUUAGUUUUCCCAUUGUAAUGGCAUUAUUAUGUGUUAGCUUUCCCAUUAAUAGAGUUAUGGAUUCCAUGUGGUAUUUUUAGGGUUUUUAUUUGAUAAUUUUCACCUUUCGCUCUGAGUGCAAAAUAAAUAAAUAAAUAACCAUCAAUAAAUAAAGGCAAUAAAAUCCAAUUAAAUGUAAUGUUGGGAAGAAAUAAAAGAGCAGUAUAAGAGGAAAAUACCUACACUACCCAGAUAAUAAAUACUGCUGUUAACUCUGUGAUGACUUUUGCAUAGUCACACAAGUUCACUUUGAAUUCUUUCUCUUGGUGUCUUAAUGUUCUUGAGACUAC
Molecule: non-coding RNA, 1333 nt
Organism: Rattus norvegicus (Norway rat)
Lineage: Eukaryota; Metazoa; Chordata; Mammalia; Rodentia; Muridae
Source: RefSeq, a predicted model, not a curated record